Molecule: ribosomal RNA, 465 nt
Filed under: Vreelandella stevensii
Lineage: Bacteria; Pseudomonadati; Pseudomonadota; Gammaproteobacteria; Oceanospirillales; Halomonadaceae
Description: partial 16S ribosomal RNA
Rfam family: Bacterial small subunit ribosomal RNA
Source: RNAcentral
CCUACGGGCGGCAGCAGUGGGGAAUAUUGGACAAUGGGGGCAACCCUGAUCCAGCCAUGCCGCGUGUGUGAAGAAGGCCCUCGGGUUGUAAAGCACUUUCAGUGAGGAAGAACGCCUGGUGGUUAAUACCCAUCAGGAAAGACAUCACUCACAGAAGAAGCACCGGCUAACUCCGUGCCAGCAGCCGCGGUAAUACGGAGGGUGCGAGCGUUAAUCGGAAUUACUGGGCGUAAAGCGCGCGUAGGUGGCUUGAUAAGCCGGUUGUGAAAGCCCCGGGCUCAACCUGGGAACGGCAUCCGGAACUGUCAAGCUAGAGUGCAGGAGAGGAAGGUAGAAUUCCCGGUGUAGCGGUGAAAUGCGUAGAGAUCGGGAGGAAUACCAGUGGCGAAGGCGGCCUUCUGGACUUACACUGACACUGAGGUGCGAAAGCGUGGGUAGCAAACAGGAUUAGAUACCCUAGUAGUC